AGUGAACGCUGGCGGUAGGCCUAACACAUGCAAGUCGAACGGCAGCACAGUAAGAGCUUGCUCUUACGGGUGGCGAGUGGCGGACGGGUGAGGAAUACAUCGGAAUCUACUUUUUCGUGGGGGAUAACGUAGGGAAACUUACGCUAAUACCGCAUACGACCUACGGGUGAAAGCAGGGGAUCUUCGGACCUUGCGCGAUUGAAUGAGCCGAUGUCGGAUUAGCUAGUUUGCGGGGUAAAGGCCCACCAAGGCGACGAUCCGUAGCUGGUCUGAGAGGAUGAUCAGCCAAACUGGAACUGAGACACGGUCCAGACUCCUACGGGAGGCAGCAGUGGGGAAUAUUGGACAAUGGGCGCAAGCCUGAUCCAGCCAUACCGCGUGGGUGAAGAAGGCCUUCGGGUUGUAAAGCCCUUUUGUUGGGAAAGAAAAGCAGCAGGUUAAUACCCCGCUGUUCUGACGGUACCCAAAGAAUAAGCACCGGCUAACUUCGUG
Molecule: ribosomal RNA, 492 nt
Filed under: uncultured bacterium
Lineage: Bacteria
Description: partial 16S ribosomal RNA
Rfam family: Bacterial small subunit ribosomal RNA
Source: RNAcentral